UACGGAGGGUGCAAGCGUUGUUCGGAAUUACUGGGCGUAAAGGGCGCGUAGGCGGUCUUUUAAGUUAGGCGUGAAAGCCCCAGGCUCAACCUGGGAACUGCGCUUAAUACUGAAGGACUUGAGUGCGAGAGGGGAAAGUGGAAUUCCUAGUGUAGAGGUGAAAUUCGUAGAUAUUAGGAAGAACACCGGUGGCGAAGGCGACUUUCUGGCUCGCAACUGACGCUGAGGCGCGAAAGCGUGGGGAGCAAACAGGAUUAGAUACCCUGGUAGUCCACGCUGUAAACGAUGAAUGCUAGACGUUUGUAGGUUCGCCUAUGAGUGUCGCAGCUAACGCAUUAAGCAUUCCGCCUGGGGAGUACGGUCGCAAGAUUAAA
This 374-nucleotide ribosomal RNA is filed under the name uncultured bacterium. RNAcentral describes it as "bacterial SSU rRNA". It matches the Rfam family "Bacterial small subunit ribosomal RNA", at positions 524 to 898 of the family's 1533-position model. The record is from RNAcentral.